UCCGACUUAACGUCGGCAGUCCCUUUAGAGUGCCCAACUGAAUGCUGGCAACUAAAGGCGAGGGUUGCGCUCGUUGCGGGACUUAACCCAACAUCUCACGACACGAGCUGACGACAGCCAUGCAGCACCUACCAAGCGACCCCGAAGGGCUACCCUAUCUCUAGAGUAUUCCACUUGAUUUCAAGCCCAGGUAAGGUUUUUCGCGUUGCAUCGAAUUAAACCACAUGCUCCACCGCUUGUGCGGGCCCCCGUCAAUUUCUUUGAGUUUUAACCUUGCGGCCGUACUUCCCAGGCGGGAUACUUAACGCGUUAGCUACGGCACUGAAGGGGUCAAUACCUCCAACACCAAGUAUCCAUCGUUUACGGCGUGGACUAC
This 376-nucleotide unclassified non-coding RNA is filed under the name uncultured Pseudobdellovibrionaceae bacterium. Its description in RNAcentral is "uncultured Bdellovibrionaceae bacterium contains 16S-23S intergenic spacer region". Lineage: Bacteria; Pseudomonadati; Bdellovibrionota; Bdellovibrionia; Bdellovibrionales; Pseudobdellovibrionaceae. The record is from RNAcentral.